RNAcentral lists this long non-coding RNA (807 nucleotides) under Zea mays. RNAcentral describes it as "long non-coding RNA NONZMAT004181". The record is from RNAcentral. Lineage: Eukaryota; Viridiplantae; Streptophyta; Magnoliopsida; Poales; Poaceae.
GACAAGCUAAUAUCAGUUUUUCCUCUACUGCAGACGAUCGGGCGGCUGUUGCCGAUGAAGCACAUAUGCAUGGUUCAAUGGAACAAUUCAAUUGAACAGAUCCUGAUGGAUCUAAGGACUGCAGAUUUUUUUACUGAACAAAUUGAAUGGAACAAUUCCUUCAUUUACAAAAGAAACAUUUAUAAUGGCUGCAUCAUUCAAACGGUAUCCGAUGGCGAAGAUUUGAAGUGAAAACAUUAUUUUUCUUUUUCAGAGGUCCUGCUUGGUCAGAAAAUAACCUCAGGACUGUCCUGCAGCUACUCUGCUACUCCCUCAAACCAUUGUGUGGUCUGUGGUGUGGGUCGUCCGAUGACCGCAAGGAAAGAUUAUAAAAUGCACCAAAAUUUGACCAAGCAGCAUUUGCCGACAAGUGCCCCAGAUCUAAGAAAUAUAAUAUUUCAGUGGACGAAGAAUAAGUUGCAAGAUAAAAGUAAGACACUACAAAGGAACAUUUUCUCAGUAGCCUAAAUAGCUGUCACUGACAAAAACCAGGACCGGAAACUAAAAUGUAUACAUUAACAAUACGCAUAAACUGAAUGUAAUAGUAAGAAAGAAGGAAUACAAAUCUGAGGAUAAGAUAAACAAGAAGUAAGCUCAAGUGCUAUUUACUGAUUUACAUAUUGGAACAUCUAACAGGUAAUAGCAAAACUGUCAACUGUGGUAUCAGGAAAAAUAAUCUUCUGUUUGUCGCCUUAGCCUUUAUCAGACCUGAGCUCUUACAGGUAACUGCAACCAAACAAUCCGGUACACCCAUACAUUGUAGUCAGA